UUGCUUUCUCAUCAUCCGUACUAAAAUUGGAACAACCCAGAGACAAGAAGCAUGCCCCCACGAAAGGACGACGUGUGAGUCUGUGAAGCAUUCCAGCUUUGG
This 102-nucleotide small nuclear RNA is filed under the name Phascolarctos cinereus (koala). The record is from RNAcentral. Lineage: Eukaryota; Metazoa; Chordata; Mammalia; Diprotodontia; Phascolarctidae.